UUGUGAGAAAAUAAAUGAGGAGUCGGACCUGCCCGGUGAAUUUUUAACGGCCGCGGUACUCUGACCGUGCAAAGGUAGCAUAAUAAUUUGCCUUAUAAUUGAAGGCUAGAAUGAAUGGUUUAACGAGAAUAAAGCUGUCUCUUUGCAAUUUUAUAGAAAUUUAUUUACAGAUGAAAAAGUCUGUAUUACAUUAAAAGACAAGAAGACCCUAUCGAGCUUUAGGAAAUUUAGUAGAUUAAAGACUUAUUGUGAUCUCAAGAUAGUUGUCUACUAAAAAUUUUAGUUGGGGCGACUAAGGAACAGAUAAAGCUUCUUCACUAUCAUUCUUACUUUGUUGGUUCUGAUCCAGAAGCUCCUGAUUAAUAGAAUUAGUUACCGUAGGGAUAACAGCAUUAUCUUUUUUGAGAGCUCUUAUCGAAAAAAAGGUUUGUGACCUCGAUGUUGGACCAGAAUGUCCUGAAGAUGCAGCAGUCUUUAAGGGUUGGUCUGUUCGACCAUUAAUAUUCUA
RNAcentral lists this ribosomal RNA (508 nucleotides) under Nebularia contracta. Its description in RNAcentral is "partial 16S ribosomal RNA". It matches the Rfam family "Bacterial large subunit ribosomal RNA", at positions 1831 to 2598 of the family's 2925-position model. Lineage: Eukaryota; Metazoa; Mollusca; Gastropoda; Neogastropoda; Mitridae. The record is from RNAcentral.